This is a non-coding RNA of Leptonychotes weddellii (Weddell seal), 902 nucleotides long. The record is from RefSeq and is a predicted model, not a curated record. Lineage: Eukaryota; Metazoa; Chordata; Mammalia; Carnivora; Phocidae.
CCGCCUCCUCGGCCCUCGCACGUUCCUUCCCAGCACUCGAGGCCGCCGGGUCUGUUAUGAAACCCCGAGCGCUGAGUGGCUAAGAGCGGGUUCCAUUGCGAUGUAAUUAGGUCACCCCAUUAUGAGCACGUUUCUUUGGAAAGGACAGGGCGGGCGGAGCAGAGCGCUCCAGUCGCGCUCUCACCACCACCACCCACCCACCCACACACACACGCAUUUUUAUUACAUUUCUGAUGUAUUCGUCAACCUCCGAGCAGACCCAGGGAAAACUUACAAAUCACAACGAAAGGAACCGGUUGUUUUUCAUCUUUGCGAAACACACAACUUUUGCUGCAGCCACGAAUCUACGUGAUCUCAGCCCGGUCUGCUUUUAUUUGGCCCCUCAGACUUAAAAUGAUGGCCCCCGUUUUUAACCCAGCUGCUGCCCCUUGCCUUUCCUUCUGCUGCCGUCUAGCCUCCUGUUGCUUCCCUCCCCCUGCUCCCAUUUUUCAGCUUUUCUUGAAAUCUGGCAAGCGCCAGAAAGGGAAAUAACUUCCAUCCACCUUAAUUUAAAUCAUACAAGUGUAGGUUUCUUUCUUAAAGGGGUGUCUGCUCGCUCCUUUCCCCAGCUCCAAGAAGCGGGGGGGCGGCUCGUGCAGUUUCUUGGUGAUGAGGUAAUGAGUUCCAGAUUUCAGGACAGAGCAGGCUGCGCGUUAAAACCACAAGAGAAUGCCGAUUCCUCGAAUUUCCUCCGCUUUUCCAACUCCCGGCCGCCGCUCCCCUCCCCCGCUCCCGGGGCGCGGGCUCCGCGGGGCGGCGGCCUGGCCCGCUCGCUCCGGAGUUGUUUACCGGCCCCGCCGACCCACCGAGUUUGUUCCAGCUCUGAGAGCCUGUCUCUAUAAUUAAACUCUUUUUUAAUUGUC